GACGAACGCUGGCGGCGUGCCUAAUACAUGCAAGUCGAGCGGACCAAAGGGAGCUUGCUCCUAGAGGUUAGCGGCGAACGGGUGAGUAACACGUGGGCAACCUGCCUGUAAGACUGGGAUAACAUCGAGAAAUCGGUGCUAAUACCGGAUAAUAAAAAGAACUGCAUGGUUCUUUUUCGAAAGAUGGUUUCGGCUAUCACUUACAGAUGGGCCCGCGGCGCAUUAGCUAGUUGGUGGGGUAACGGCUCACCAAGGCGACGAUGCGUAGCCGACCUGAGAGGGUGAUCGGCCACACUGGGACUGAGACACGGCCCAG
This 316-nucleotide ribosomal RNA is filed under the name uncultured Bacillus sp. RNAcentral describes it as "bacterial SSU rRNA". It matches the Rfam family "Bacterial small subunit ribosomal RNA", at positions 28 to 334 of the family's 1533-position model. The record is from RNAcentral. Lineage: Bacteria; Bacillati; Bacillota; Bacilli; Caryophanales; Bacillaceae.